UGAGGAAUAUUGGACAAUGGGCGGGGGCCUGAUCCAGCCAUGCCGCGUGCAGGAAGACUGCCCUAUGGGUUGUAAACUGCUUUUGUACGGGAAGAAUAAGGUCCACGUGUGGACCGAUGACGGUACCGUAAGAAUAAGGAUCGGCUAACUCCGUGCCAGCAGCCGCGGUAAUACGGAGGAUCCAAGCGUUAUCCGGAAUCAUUGGGUUUAAAGGGUCCGUAGGCGGGCAUAUAAGUCAGUGGUGAAAGUUUGCGGCUCAACCGUAAAAUUGCCAUUGAUACUGUGUGCCUUGAAUCGCCGUGAAGUGGCCGGAAUGUGUAGUGUAGCGGUGAAAUGCAUAGAUAUUACACAGAACACCGAUUGCGAAGGCAGGCCACUAACGGCGCAUUGACGCUAAGGGACGAAAGCGUGGGUAGCGAACAGGAUUAGAUACCCCCGUAGUCC
RNAcentral lists this ribosomal RNA (444 nucleotides) under uncultured prokaryote. RNAcentral describes it as "bacterial SSU rRNA". It matches the Rfam family "Bacterial small subunit ribosomal RNA", at positions 355 to 796 of the family's 1533-position model. The record is from RNAcentral.